AAGUCGUAACAAGGUUUCCGUAGGUGAACCUGCGGAAGGAUCAUUAGAGAUUGGCCUAACGGCCGUGUCUUCAUCCACACACACCGUGAACCGUUUUGGAGCCCUUUGGGGUUUCAGACAACACCAAAAACAUAAUGUAAAGAAUGUAAAUUAUCGUAACAAAACAAAACUUUCAACAACGGAUCUCUUGGCUCUC
This 196-nucleotide unclassified non-coding RNA is filed under the name Genolevuria armeniaca. RNAcentral's name for it is "partial internal transcribed spacer region". The stretch from base 1 to 46 matches the Rfam family "Eukaryotic small subunit ribosomal RNA", at positions 1786 to 1831 of the family's 1831-position model. The record is from RNAcentral. Lineage: Eukaryota; Fungi; Basidiomycota; Tremellomycetes; Tremellales; Bulleraceae.